Molecule: ribosomal RNA, 455 nt
Filed under: Rumina decollata
Lineage: Eukaryota; Metazoa; Mollusca; Gastropoda; Stylommatophora; Subulinidae
Description: partial 16S ribosomal RNA
Rfam family: Bacterial large subunit ribosomal RNA
Source: RNAcentral
AGCCUAAAGAAACUGGAUUUUAGGUGAGCCCUGCCCAGCGACAUUAAGUUUAGCGGCCGCAGUACCUUGACUGUGCUAAGGUAGCAUAAUAACUUGUCCUUUAAUUGAGGUCUUGAAUGAACGGGUCCACGAGAAAUGCUCUGUCUCCUGUAUAAAAUUUGCUGAAUUUACUUAAAAGGUGAAAAUUCCUUUGGACACUGAAAAAAGACGAGAAGACCCUUAGAAUUUUGAUAAAAACUAUUAAUAAGUGAUAGGUUGGUUUUCGUUGGGGCGACGAGGUAGCAGAUAGUUAACCUACUUAAAAUUGAUACUUUAUAUGUCGAGUUUUACUACAUAUGAUUAAAUUACCUAAGGGAUAACAGCAUAAUACUUUUAGUGUUUGUGACCUCGAUGUUGGACUAGGGACUAAUUGGUUAGCCACCAGGAUAGAUGAUUCUGUUCGAAUCUCAUACCCU